Molecule: ribosomal RNA, 505 nt
Filed under: uncultured bacterium
Lineage: Bacteria
Description: partial 16S ribosomal RNA
Rfam family: Bacterial small subunit ribosomal RNA
Source: RNAcentral
GACGAACGCUGGCGGCGUGCCUAAUACAUGCAAGUAGAACGCACAGUUUAUACCGUAGCUUGCUACACCAUAGACUGUGAGUUGCGAACGGGUGAGUAACGCGUAGGUAACCUGCCUGGUAGCGGGGGAUAACUAUUGGAAACGAUAGCUAAUACCGCAUAAUAUUAAUUAUUGCAUGAUAAUUAAUUGAAAGGUGCAAUUGCACCACUACCAGAUGGACCUGCGUUGUAUUAGCUAGUAGGUGAGGUAACGGCUCACCUAGGCGACGAUACAUAGCCGACCUGAGAGGGUGAUCGGCCACACUGGGACCGAGACACGGCCCAGACGCCUACGGGAGGCAGCAGUAGGGAAUCUUCGGCAAUGGACGAAAGUCUGACCGAGCAACGCCGCGUGAGUGAAGAAGGUUUUCGGAUCGUAAAGCUCUGUUGUAAGAGAAGAACGGGUGUGAGAGUGGAAAGUUCACACUGUGACGGUAUCUUACCAGAAAGGGACGGCUAACUACGUG